This 63-nucleotide transfer RNA is filed under the name Pinctada maxima (silver-lipped pearl oyster). RNAcentral describes it as "tRNA-Ser". Lineage: Eukaryota; Metazoa; Mollusca; Bivalvia; Pterioida; Pteriidae. The record is from RNAcentral.
GAAGAGGUAGUAUAUGGUGUGUAUGCCAGCUUUCUAUGCUGGAGGUGGGUUUUCCCCUCUUUG